CGGUCUAUAGGCAGGUUUACACAAAACGCGAGCCGCCUCGAAAUGAAUUACCUCGCGAAGCGGCACGUACUGUGUAAAAAUUGCUUCUGUAAUUUUAGUUUAGCUCGAAGUCAUAGAUUACUUUUUAGUGUUCCGCACAAAACUUAGUUCACGGAACACUUAUAGGAUCAAUUCGGUCUUGUUUUUUGUUAAAAAUAACUAUGAUAUCCUCGAGCUCGAUGAAUCGGAUAAGGAUCAGAACUCACUGCACCUUAAUGCGGCGUAUUAACAUUUAAAAUAAUUGACCCAAAGUCACACAUUAAUAAAUGUGGACUUAUCUCUUGCCUCACAGACUAAUACUUAAUGUAACUGCCCACAAGAUACUCAUUACAACUAGUUUGAGACUUGGAAUCAAGUCACAUUAAAUGUCUAGUAUUAGUUCAGAAUCCUUGAUGAUUUUCACAGUAUUCUAAUGUACCGAGUGUCAAUGAUGUACCAAGAUUUAAAAUGGCAUGUAAAUUCAAACAAUUAUGUGUGUAUAUGCCCAGACACUGUCAGUAAAAUUAAUAAACUGGGUUCGGUAUCCUUGGACAAAGAACCAAAAUAUAAAAACACAUUUUGUAUUAUUCCGUGACUGACGAGUAUGAGUUAAAUUCCUUGGUACAUCUUUCUAAGAGCAAUAUAACCUGAUAUUAUGUUUACGUAUGAUUUUCCCCAUACGUAUUGCUCAGAAAAUGUAAGACCAUUCUAAAGGCAAUCAUGUGACCUCAUAUUAGAGUAACAUUAUGUAAGAUAAAGUGCUCAUUGUUUGGUAAUUUUGAAUUAUUAGCAUUAAGUUGUAUAUAUUUUAAUUUUCAAUGCUGCUUCUAAACUUUGCCCUUUGAUUGUAAUUUGUUUGCGUUCUAAUAUGUUUGCCAAUUAUGAUUUAAAUUUAAAUCUGAUGUCCUGUUUGUCAUUUUCAUGCAUUUUAAGAUUGGUGUUUAUUUCGAAGUCGUGCGUCCAGCAAAAAACAAGGCGCUAUCUUUUCCUCUUUAGAAAAGAGAGUGGACGACAUACAACAUAUACAAAUUGAAAUAUUAGAACACUGAGAAUAAUCUUUGCAGAGGGCGCCUCUAGGAACAUAAAUAAUAGAAACAAAACUAAAUCAUCAUCACCAAACACCUGCCAUGGCGCAUGGGUUAGACUAAAAACCACCACGGUCUGUGAGAACUUUCAUAUUAAAACAAUUGGUGAAUUAAUUACAUUUACCUAUUUUCGGUUUAUAAGAAACAGCACGCUGACAGAUAAAUGGACAGCGGAGGCUUAAUGAUAAGAACAAAAAUAAACUGCUGCAAUCUCGGACUUAACCCGGAGGCGCCCUCUGUUGUGAGCAAUUAUCAAUUUUUAAUUUGAAUGUAACAUUUUGGUCCAACUGCCGAAAAUGUAUACCUUUUAGUAUAACGCUAGUGUAAGGAGAAAUUACGAAAUAGUCUUUAAAUAUAUAAAAUAAGUUACCAUUAAAGAAUAAAGUACUUACUUGAAUGUUAAACUUACUAAAUGUAAUUCGAGUCCAUUUCAAUAUUUUUUAUAAAUAGAUUUUUCCUGUAUAUUUGUUUCCAUUCGAUGUCAUACUUACAUUUGUCUUCUAAUGAUCUGUACGUUUUAGCUGUUUUAUGAAUUAUCAAAGUUUUCAAAGUAAUUGUAAGUAUUUAAUGAACCAUGAAACAGUACAAAUUUUUAGCAAAUUAAAUGUAAAGAAUUGUGAAAGAAAAUGUUAAAUUCAUUACAGUUUAUGAGAAAUAGCUUUAGUCGGCUGUAUUUAUUCAUGUAUGGGCAUAUUUUUAUUAUAUUAAUAUUAAUAAAUGGGUUUAAAAUAGUACAAA
This is a long non-coding RNA of Cydia fagiglandana, 1841 nucleotides long. RefSeq lists it as uncharacterized. The record is from RefSeq and is a predicted model, not a curated record. The transcript is spliced from 2 exons. NCBI's taxonomy places the organism in Eukaryota, Metazoa, Arthropoda, Insecta, Lepidoptera, Tortricidae.